GACGAACGCUGGCGGCGUGCUUAACACAUGCAAGUCGAACGAUGAUGCCAGCUUGCUGGUGGAUUAGUGGCGAACGGGUGAGUAACACGUGAGCAACCUGCCCCUGACUUCGGGAUAACCGCGGGAAACCGUGGCUAAUACCGGAUAUGACGCGCUAUCGCAUGGUGGUGUGUGGAAAGAUUUAUCGGUUGGGGAUGGGCUCGCGGCCUAUCAGCUUGUUGGUGGGGUGAUGGCCUACCAAGGCGACGACGGGUAGCCGGCCUGAGAGGGUGACCGGCCACACUGGGACUGAGACACGGCCCAGACUCCUACGGGAGGCAGCAGUGGGGAAUAUUGCACAAUGGGCGCAAGCCUGAUGCAGCGACGCCGCGUGAGGGGUGACGGCCUUCGGGUUGUAAACCUCUUUCAGUAGGGAAGAAGGCCUUCGGGUUGACGGUACCUGCAGAAGAAGCGCCGGCUAACUACGUG
Molecule: ribosomal RNA, 468 nt
Filed under: uncultured bacterium
Lineage: Bacteria
Description: partial 16S ribosomal RNA
Rfam family: Bacterial small subunit ribosomal RNA
Source: RNAcentral